GGGGGCGAAACGGAUUCGACGGGGAUAUUGAAGCUUAUGUUGCAUGUCGAGUUGUCGUCAACUCGUAAACUUGACGCAUUUUAAAUAUAAUCGCAGACGAUUAUAACUACGCACUGGCAGCUUAGUCCUGCUGUGCCGCUCCACCUGUCUCUGCCUGCAUGACAGGAUUUGGGGCGUCGACCUCGCGGGCUGGUCAAGCGCGAGCGCCUGAGGCGCGGUUGAUGAGACUUUAUCAGGCUGGUGACCGAUUAUCCCUGUUUCGGGUGAGACCCGGUCACGAGAUUCAAUCCCGAAACUAAGCAUGUAGACACAUAAGGGGAGAGUUUCCGGACCCGGGUUCAACUCCCGGCGCCUCCACCA
Molecule: transfer-messenger RNA, 360 nt
Filed under: Desulfobulbus propionicus
Lineage: Bacteria; Pseudomonadati; Thermodesulfobacteriota; Desulfobulbia; Desulfobulbales; Desulfobulbaceae
Also listed under: 1 other name
Rfam family: transfer-messenger RNA
About the family: Bacterial tmRNA, also known as 10Sa RNA or SsrA, is named for its dual tRNA and mRNA-like properties.
Source: RNAcentral